This 72-nucleotide transfer RNA is filed under the name Bos taurus (domestic cattle). It matches the Rfam family "tRNA". Rfam says of the family: Transfer RNA (tRNA) molecules are approximately 80 nucleotides in length. Their secondary structure includes four short double-helical elements and three loops (D, anti-codon, and T loops). The record is from Rfam by way of RNAcentral. Lineage: Eukaryota; Metazoa; Chordata; Mammalia; Artiodactyla; Bovidae. RNAcentral also lists the same sequence under 3 other names.
UCCCUCGUGGCUUAGACAAUAAAGAAUCUGCCUGCAAUGCAGGAGACCCAGGUUCAAUCCCUGGGUGGGGAU